GAUGAACGCUGGCGGCGUGCCUAAUACAUGCAAGUCGAGCGAACAGACGAGAGUGCUUGCACUCUCUGACGUUAGCGGCGGACGGGUGAGUAACACGUGGGUAACCUACCUAUAAGACUGGGAUAACUUCGGGAAACCGGAGCUAAUACCGGAUAAUAUUUAGCUUCGCAUGAAGCAAUAGUGAAAGACGGUUCUGCUGUCACUUAUAGAUGGACCCGCGGUGUAUUAGCUAGUUGGUGAGGUAACGGCUCACCAAGGCAACGAUACAUAGCCGACCUGAGAGGGUGAUCGGCCACACUGGGACUGAGACACGGCCCAGACUCCUACGGGAGGCAGCAGUAGGGAAUCUUCCGCAAUGGACGAAAGUCUGACGGAGCAAUGCCGCGUGAGUGAAGAAGGUUUUCGGAUCGUAAAACUCUGUUGUAAGGGAAGAACAAGUACGUUAGUAACUGAACGUACCUUGACGGUACCUGAUCAGAAAGCCACGGCUAACUACGUG
RNAcentral lists this ribosomal RNA (499 nucleotides) under uncultured bacterium. Its description in RNAcentral is "partial 16S ribosomal RNA". It matches the Rfam family "Bacterial small subunit ribosomal RNA", at positions 28 to 507 of the family's 1533-position model. The record is from RNAcentral.